This 253-nucleotide ribosomal RNA is filed under the name uncultured bacterium. RNAcentral's name for it is "partial 16S ribosomal RNA". It matches the Rfam family "Bacterial small subunit ribosomal RNA", at positions 524 to 776 of the family's 1533-position model. The record is from RNAcentral.
UACGUAGGGGGCUAGCGUUGUCCGGAAUCAUUGGGCGUAAAGAGCGUGUAGGCGGCCCGGUAAGUCCGCUGUGAAAGUCGGGGGCUCAACCCUCGAAUGCCGGUGGAUACUGUCGGGCUAGAGUGCGGAAGAGGCGAGUGGAAUUCCUGGUGUAGCGGUGAAAUGCGCAGAUACCAGGAGGAACACCGAUUGCGAAGGCAGCUCGCUGGGACGUAACUGACGCUGAGACGCGAAAGCGUGGGGAGCAAACAGG